AAAAAAAAAAAAAGGAAAAAAAAGCUUAAUACUUCGUUAUGGCCGCCUGAGAAACUCUCCUUCCACUUUCUUCAUCAUCUCCCUCUCUCUCUUUCUCUCUAUCUCUCUCUACAACACACACCGAGAUGGAUGCAGGGGGAGACGUAUGAUCUUGGAUGCGUACAUGUAUGUGGCGUCCAUAAGUUAAAGCGAAUUUACAGUGUUAUUAACAAAAGGGACUUCCACUUCCACUCAUGGAGAAAGGGAAUGGAACUCAUGAAGAGGCAAGUAGCCCAGGUUGGGGUGCUUCAUUUUUGGUGCAGACAGCUGAAGAUGCUUCUGGAACUGCUGUUACUCCUCCUUCUCCUUCACCAAGACCUUCAGUGGUAUUCUCAUCAAAAGGGGAUACAAGUCCUCUUCAAAAGCUUCAGAAUCAAGUUUUCAGAGCACUCAAAGGCUUAUCUCCUCCUUCUGAAGAUAAAAGCAGAACUUACAAUCCAGAAGUAUUAACUAGCCAAAAACGUCAAUGGGCAAGCUUUCAGUUGGAUGCCCUGCAUCAAAGGAUACUGAAAGAACCUUCUAGGCUAUUUGAGAGCAUGGUAGUGGUUGGAUUGCAUCCAAAUUGUGACAUUCAGGCACUUCAGAGGCAAUAUUUUGGUAGAAGAUCUGAAGGUCCAGGGAGGCAUCAGUUUCGUGUAGAACCAAAUCUUGAACCUCAGGUUCUUUUUGUCUACCCUCCAGAUAAACAGCUUCCAUUAAGGUCUAAAGAUCUCCUUUCAUUCUGCUUUCCUGGUGGAUUGGAGGUUCACACUAUUGAGAGAACACCAUCAAUGAGUGAACUGAAUGAAAUACUUCUUGGACAGGAACACCUUAAACAAAACGAUCUCUCCUUUGUAUUCAGGUUACAGGGCGCAGAUGAUUCAACACUUUAUGGUUGUUGUGUUCUUGUGGAUGAAUUAGUCCAACAACCUUCUAGAUUAAUUUCAAUCAUGGGAGAUGGACAUUUUUUCUACCCCUCCUCUUAGUCGCCAUGUUUUAACCACUAGAAGGUGUUAUUGUAUUCUUACAAGGCUUCCAUUUUUUGAACUCCAUUUUGGUGUUUUAAACAGCAUCUUCACUGAAGAAAGAUUGGAUCGAUUAACAAAAAGUAUUGGGGAGUUGGAUUUGGAUUUGGAUUUGGAUUCAUCUGUUGAGAAUGAUGGAGAAGUGUAUUUAGAAGCUGAAAAUGGUGCUUCUGCUUCAGUUGAACAUGUUCAAGAACUUAAUGGAAACAUGGAAACUUGUGAUGAUAAUCAUAAUCAUGUUGAUGAUAAACAACUUACUCAAAAACAAAUCCCAAAUGCAAUUUUGCCUUUUCUUCGUUUUCAACAAUAUGAUAGCUCUGAUUCUUCCUCAAGUUUUCAGGGGUCUCCAAGUGAAGAUAGAAACUUUAGGAGUGAUCUUGAUUCACCAGAGACAGAAGAAGCAUCGUUUUCAGGUCAAGAAGAUAACGAGCACAAGGAAAUUCUUGAUUGGGCUAAGAAUAAUAACCAUGGAUCUUUACAAAUUAUAUGCGAAUACAAUCGUUUAUGUGUCCCCACAAGAGGCUCAACAACAAAAUUUCAUCCCCUUGAACACCUGCAUCCUCUUGAAUUUCACAGACCUGAUGAAACAGUUUUACAUAUGGCUGGUUCUACUGUUGAUUUGAUGUCAUGUAGCACAACUUUUGAACUUUCAGAGGCUCACAGGGCACUUUCAGUGGAGGAAGAGGCAACUGCUUUAUCAGUAUGGGCAAUUUCAUGCAUAUGUGGCUCAAUGCGUCUUGAACAUGUGUUGACAAUAUUCACAGGUGCUCUGUUGGAGAAGCAAAUGGUGUUUGUGUGUUCUAAUCUGGGAAUAUUAUCUGCUUCAGUGUUAUCGAUUAUCCCUUUGAUUCGUCCCUAUCAGUGGCAGAGCUUCUUUAUGCCGGUCUUGCCAAAUGACAUGCUGGAUUUUUUGGAUGCACCUGUUCCUUUUGUAGUUGGUGUGAAGAGCAGAACAGCUGAAGUCCAAUCAAAAUCAGGAAAUGUUAUUCUUGUUGAUGCAAAUAAAAACCAGGUGAAAUCGUCUUAUAUGCCACAUUUCCCACAAUACAAAGAGUUAUUUGCAGCCUUAACUCCAUAUCAUGCUCAACUUGUUGGAGAAAGUUAUUUGGGGAGAAGGAGACCUGUUUAUGACUGCACUGAUGUGCAGGUAGAAGCUGCAAAGGGAUUCCUGAGAGUAUUAAGAUCUUACUUGGAUUCACUUUGCUCCAACUUACGUUCACACACAAUUACAAAUGUUCAAAUCAAACGACGAUAAGGUAUCAUUGCUUCUAAAGGAGAGUUUCAUUGAAUCUUUUCCUAGUCGCGAUCGACCUUUUAUGAAGCUUUUUGUAGACACACAAAUGUUCUCUGUACAUACAGACUUGGUAUUGUCUCUUUUUCCAAAAGGAUUAGAAGUGGAAGGAAGGAAGGAAGGUUGACCUUGUAAUGUAUAGUUUUAUAAUCGCAAUUCAGCGCAAAUUCUAUAAGUUAUUAUAGUCCUCCCUCAUCAGUUUAAGUGUUUUUAUAUUAUUAUUAUUAUAUAUAGUUAUAAUUAUAAUUUAUAAUUAUAAUUGGUUUCACAUUUUGUAUCACAUAUCAAUUCACAUGGCUAUCUACAUCAAAAGCCAAUAACAUUAUAUAAACAUCAUGUGCUCUCCUUUCUUAAACCAUAUAACAGUUUUGUUUC
RNA transcript from Lactuca sativa (garden lettuce), 2709 nucleotides. RefSeq lists it as uncharacterized. NCBI's taxonomy places the organism in Eukaryota, Viridiplantae, Streptophyta, Magnoliopsida, Asterales, Asteraceae. The record is from RefSeq and is a predicted model, not a curated record.